RNAcentral lists this unclassified non-coding RNA (297 nucleotides) under Aureimonas phyllosphaerae. RNAcentral's name for it is "Long range pseudoknot". The record is from RNAcentral. Lineage: Bacteria; Pseudomonadati; Pseudomonadota; Alphaproteobacteria; Hyphomicrobiales; Aurantimonadaceae.
ACCAAGAUGAAGGCCGUGCGCCGCUUCUUCGACGAGGGCGAUAAGGUCAAGGUCACGCUGCGCUUCCGCGGCCGCGAGAUGGCCCACCAGGAACUCGGCAUGCGUCUCCUCAACCGGGUGCGUGAAGAGACCGCCGAGAUUUCCAAGGUCGAGGCCGAGCCGAAGCUCGAGGGCCGUCAGAUGAUGAUGGUGCUGGCGCCCAAGGGCUGACCGACCCCGGCAUCGCCAGAGCCAAGUCUUGAAGGGCGGCCCGCAGGGGUCGCCCUUUUUCGUGCGCGUCGCGUUCGGGAAUGGCGA